This 645-nucleotide ribosomal RNA is filed under the name uncultured bacterium. Its description in RNAcentral is "bacterial SSU rRNA". It matches the Rfam family "Bacterial small subunit ribosomal RNA", at positions 232 to 885 of the family's 1533-position model. The record is from RNAcentral.
CGCGGCCUAUCAGCUUGUUGGUGGGGUAACGGCCUACCAAGGCAACGACGGGUAGCUGGUCUGAGAGGACGAUCAGCCACACUGGCACUGAGAUACGGGCCAGACUCCUACGGGAGGCAGCAGUGGGGAAUAUUGCACAAUGGGCGCAAGCCUGAUGCAGCGACGCCGCGUGGGGGAUGACGGCCUUCGGGUUGUAAACCUCUUUCAGCUAUGACGAUGCCUUCGGGUGACGGUAGUGGCAGAAGAAGCACCGGCCAACUACGUGCCAGCAGCCGCGGUAAUACGUAGGGUGCGAGCGUUGUCCGGAAUUACUGGGCGUAAAGAGCUCGUAGGUGGUUUGUCGCGUUGUUCGUGAAAACUCACAGCUUAACUGUGGGCGUGCGGGCGAUACGGGCAGACUGGAGUACUGCAGGGGAGAUUGGAAUUCCUGGUGUAGCGGUGGAAUGCGCAGAUAUCAGGAGGAACACCGGUGGCGAAGGCGGGUCUCUGGGCAGUAACUGACGCUGAGGAGCGAAAGCGUGGGGAGCGAACAGGAUUAGAUACCCUGGUAGUCCACGCCGUAAACGGUGGGUACUAGGUGUGGGUUUCCUUCCUUGGGAUCCGUGCCGUAGCUAACGCAUUAAGUACCCCGCCUGGGGAGUACGG